RNAcentral lists this ribosomal RNA (426 nucleotides) under uncultured prokaryote. Its description in RNAcentral is "bacterial SSU rRNA". It matches the Rfam family "Bacterial small subunit ribosomal RNA", at positions 355 to 774 of the family's 1533-position model. The record is from RNAcentral.
UUUCGAAUCAUUCACAAUGGGCGAAAGCCUGAUGGUGCGACGCCGCGUGAGGGAUGAAGGUCUUCGGAUUGUAAACCUCUGUCACCGGGGAAGAAACGCUUUGAGCUAACAGUUCAAAGCCUGACUUAACCCGGAGAGGAAGCAGUGGCUAACUCUGUGCCAGCAGCCGCGGUAAUACAGAGACUGCAAGCGUUAUUCGGAUUCACUGGGCGUAAAGGGUGCGCAGGCGGCUAUGUGUGUGAGGUGUGAAAGCCCGGGGCUUAACCCCGGAAUUGCACCUCAAACUACAUGGCUAGAGCAUUGGAGAGGGUAGCAGAAUUCAUGGUGUAGCAGUGAAAUGCGUAGAUAUCAGGAGGAAUACCAGAGGCGAAGGCGGCUACCUGGACAAUUGCUGACGCUCUGGCACGAAAGCGUGGGGAGCAAAAG